CUACCAUGGCUAUCACGGGUAACGGAGAAUUGGGGUUCGAUUCCGGAGAAGGAGCCUGAGAAACGGCUACUACAUCUACGGGAGGCAGCAGGCGCGUAAAUUACCCAAUCCUGACUCAGGGAGGUAGUCACAAGAAAUAGUAUACCAGACACAUCGUGUCUAGUUUUGCAAUGGAUUUAGUUUAAACCCUUAUUUGAAAUCUAUUGGAGGGCAAGUCUGGUGCCAGCAGCCGCGGUAAUUCCAGCUCCAAUAGCGUAUCUUAAUGUUGUUGCAGUUAAAAAGCUCGUAGUCGAAUAUCUGACCGGGAAAACCGCACUCCGUGGGGAUCUUUCCUAGGUCAUCCGCCUGAAAAAUUAGUGGUUUUUCAUCGCUCUACUUAUGGAUCAGGCGCUUUACUUUGAAGAAAUUAGAGUGUUUCAGGCAGGCUAUCGCUUGAAUACACCAGCAUGGAAUAAUGGAAUAGGACUUUCAUCAGUUACUGGUUAAUGAUGUUUGUAAUGAUUAAUAGGGACAGUUGGGGGCAUUCGUACUUGACAGUCAGAGGUGAAAUUCUUCGAUUUGUCAAAGACGAACUAAUGCGAAGGCAUCUGCCAAGGAUGUUUUCAUUGAUCAA
RNAcentral lists this ribosomal RNA (613 nucleotides) under Ciliophora sp. Its description in RNAcentral is "SSU rRNA". It matches the Rfam family "Eukaryotic small subunit ribosomal RNA", at positions 341 to 980 of the family's 1831-position model. The record is from RNAcentral. Lineage: Eukaryota; Ciliophora.